RNAcentral lists this non-coding RNA (45 nucleotides) under Schistosoma haematobium. The record is from RNAcentral. Lineage: Eukaryota; Metazoa; Platyhelminthes; Trematoda; Strigeidida; Schistosomatidae.
AUCUGGCUGACGAGUCUCAAAUAGGACGAAAUGCGCGUUCUGGAC